CCAGGAUACAAAAACAGCAUCAGACUCUAUGAUAUUCCAGAUACCAUAUGGAGAAAGGACCUUGUGUGGAAGAAAAUGAGAUCCUGAGUGAAGUCUACAAUGUCAUUGAUUCUGAAGAAGGACUCCAAGGCCCAUUGGUGUUUAAUGACCCUUGCUGGCCCAUGCAAUGGGAACUGACAAAACCUCACCUUUCCUUGCCUGUAUACCUGCCAAUUCAGCUAUGUUACAGAAGAUAAAGUGAGUGAUUGGCUUCCAUAUCCAGGAGAUUUCUAAUGAUCUUUUGACAUGAGCAAAGAGGGAAAGUCAAAAUAGUCCUAGAACCAGUAAAAAGAAUACAAAUUAAUUCCAUAUGAAAUACAAGAUAAACACAGAUCCUAAGGAGAAAACCAGCCCAUCAUACCUCAAAAGGGCCCCAACUGAAAC
Molecule: long non-coding RNA, 423 nt
Organism: Jaculus jaculus (lesser Egyptian jerboa)
Lineage: Eukaryota; Metazoa; Chordata; Mammalia; Rodentia; Dipodidae
Exons: 4
Source: RefSeq, a predicted model, not a curated record